Molecule: ribosomal RNA, 244 nt
Filed under: uncultured Spirochaetaceae bacterium
Lineage: Bacteria; Pseudomonadati; Spirochaetota; Spirochaetia; Spirochaetales; Spirochaetaceae
Description: partial 16S ribosomal RNA
Rfam family: Bacterial small subunit ribosomal RNA
Source: RNAcentral
CGCACAGUAAACGAUGUACAUCAGGUGUCUGGCCAUGAGGCUGGGUGCCGAAGUAAACGCGAUGAAUGUACCGCCUGGGGAGUAUGCCCGCAAGGGUGAAACUCAAAGGAAUUGACGGGGGCCCGCACAAGCGGUGGAGCAUGUGGUUUAAUUCGAUGGUACGCGAGGAACCUUACCUGGGUUUGACAUACACAGGAAUGAGACAGAGAUGUCUCAGCGUAGCAAUACGCCUGUGAACAGGUGC